CUCGGCAGANCGCUCAGUAACACGUGNNNNNNNNNNNCUAAGGUGGGGGANAACUUCGGGAAACUGAGGNNNNUNCCCCAUAGUCCAGGGGCUCUGGAAUGACUCUUGGACGAAAACUCCGGUGCCUUAGGAUGGCUCUGCGGCCUAUCAGGUUGUAGUGAGGGUAACGGCCUCACUAGCCUUCGACGGGUACGGGCGUUGAGAGACGUCGCCCGGAGAUGAACUCUGAGACAUGAGUUCAGGCCCUACGGGGCGCAGCAGGCGCGAAAACUGCACAAUACUGGAAACAGUGAUGCGGGGAUUCCAAGUGCCAGGACAAUGUCCUGGCUGUUUUCAAGCCUAAAAAGCUUGGAGAGUAAGGGCUGGGUAAGACGGGUGCCAGCCGCCGCGGUAAUACCUGCAGCCCAAGUGGUGGCCGUUAUUAUUGGGCCUAAAACGUCCGUAGCCGGUUAGGUAGAUGCCUGUGGAAAUCGAACGGCUCAACCGUUCGAAUUGCGGGUAGACCGCCUGACUUGNNACCGGGAGANGUGCGAGGUACUCCGGGGGCAGAGGUGAAAUUCUGUAAU
This 566-nucleotide ribosomal RNA is filed under the name uncultured archaeon. RNAcentral's name for it is "partial 16S ribosomal RNA". It matches the Rfam family "Archaeal small subunit ribosomal RNA", at positions 77 to 646 of the family's 1478-position model. The record is from RNAcentral.